CUGAAAUCGCUCAGGCUGAGGAGAAAGAGAUGAGCUAUAAUCAUAAACAAAACUGGAAGGGAUAUAUCUAAAGAAUGGGCACAAACCAGAAGUGUAUUGAGUCUUAUAGAAACUACAGUCUAAAUUCAAAUAGGCUCAGCACUUGAUUGGAUUGAGGUGAUAACACUUGAAUCUUUAUGCUGCAUGAAGGAGAAGAGUGUAAAUGGCUGGAUUUUGGAGAGGUAUGAUGACUGCAUAAAAUACAGCAAGAAAAUUGUCCACCCAGGUGAUGCUGAGUGGCCACAGAUGAGUGAAAAUGCAAGCCGCAAAGAAUAACACCACCACUGCAAUGUGGGCUGUGCAGAGGGAGAGAGCCUUGGAUGCCCCAUCCUUAGAGUGAACGCUGACUGUAAACAGAAUAUAAAAGGAAGCGAUCAGCAACAGAAUGAAGCAGAUGGUUGCCAGUACUCCACUAUUAGCAUUUAUCAACAUUUCUAGAAUAUGGCUGUCCAUGCAGGCUAGCUUGAUCACCAAUGUUAUAUCACAGAAAAAGCUAUCCAGUUCCCUGGAUCCACAAAAGGGCAGCUUUAUAAUCACAGCUCAUUGCCUUAUUGAAUGCACAAAGCCAGUGAUCCAUGAUGUCAUCACUAACUCAAUGCAGAUUUAUCUGUUCAUGAUACUGGAGUCAUGGAGUGACUUGGCCACAUAUCGGUUGUAGGCCAUUGAUACAAGCCGCACCAUCUCGCCUGCUCCAAAGAAAUGUCCAAGGAAAAUCUGACACAUGCAGCCUCCAAAGGAGAUGGUCUUGUUUUCCUUGAGGAAGUCUAUGAUCAUUUUAGGUGUAGCGGCUGAGGAAAAGCAGAAGUCAAUGAAGGAAAGUUUCCCUAACAGGAUGCACAUAGGAGAGUGGAGAUGAAGGCCAGCAAUGAUUAGCUCAAUGAAGAUAUUGCCUAAAAAAGUGAUCCAAUAAAGAGAAAAAAAUAUCAGUAGGAGGAAGGCCUGGAGCACCCAUGAAUUACAAUGCCCAAGAAUAAUAAAUUCAGACAGUGCAGACUGGUUUACUUCUAUUUAGUCCAAUUUGUUCUAAAUUCAUCUGAAGAAAAGACAUGAAAAAUUAGAUUUUCUGAAUAAA
Molecule: long non-coding RNA, 1111 nt
Filed under: Equus caballus (horse)
Lineage: Eukaryota; Metazoa; Chordata; Mammalia; Perissodactyla; Equidae
Description: lncRNA (ENSECAG00000057879.1)
Source: RNAcentral